This 390-nucleotide ribosomal RNA is filed under the name uncultured bacterium. RNAcentral describes it as "bacterial SSU rRNA". It matches the Rfam family "Bacterial small subunit ribosomal RNA", at positions 29 to 418 of the family's 1533-position model. The record is from RNAcentral.
AUUGAACGCUGGCGGCAUGCCUUACACAUGCAAGUCGAACGGCAGCACGGGUGCUUGCACCUGGUGGCGAGUGGCGAACGGGUGAGUAAUACAUCGGAACGUACCUUAUCGUGGGGGAUAACGCAGCGAAAGCUGUGCUAAUACCGCAUACGCCCUGAGGGGGAAAGCGGGGGAUCGCAAGACCUCGCGCGAUUGGAGCGGCCGAUAUCAGAUUAGGUAGUUGGUGGGGUAAAGGCUCACCAAGCCAACGAUCUGUAGCUGGUCUGAGAGGACGACCAGCCACACUGGGACUGAGACACGGCCCAGACUCCUACGGGAGGCAGCAGUGGGGAAUAUUGCACAAUGGGCGCAAGCCUGAUGCAGCAACGCCGCGUGAGGGAUGAAGGCCUC